Non-coding RNA from Lepisosteus oculatus (spotted gar), 3380 nucleotides. The record is from RefSeq and is a predicted model, not a curated record. NCBI's taxonomy places the organism in Eukaryota, Metazoa, Chordata, Actinopteri, Semionotiformes, Lepisosteidae.
AAAAUUGGGCCAGUCGGAGAGAUUUUACUUCGCCGACGUCCAAUUUUGGGACCAAGAAAAAUAAAAGUAAAGUUAAAAAAAUGAAAGACGCCAAAAACACCUGGACGUCAGCCGUUGCUCACGUGUUUUGGAAAAGAGCCUCCAAUAGUCCACACGCCAGUGUCAAAGGUCAUUUCCUGUACAAGGUCUGGCGAGAUUGAAAUGAUUUCUGGAUGGAGCCUGAGCCUUCGGCAGCGGGGGGGUAGCAGGGAAGAGGGUUUAGGGAGGAGCUACAGAGCUGGUCAGGUUAGCCAGGACAGCAAAAAUGGCAAAUGGAUCCCCUCGGAGAAACCCGUGGGCGCUGAGACACAGGAGGGCUCUUCAUGAAGACUGCGGUGUGCCAGAUGUUCUUUUUUUAAAAUUAACAUUGUUCUCCAGGGGCUCCCUAAGUCAAGAUCUUUAAUGCCACAAUUUCAGGAGCGACGUAGUCAGUUCCAGGACUUUCCUACAGCGAGUCUGUGGAAAAUGAAGUGGGUGAAGGACACAUUGAUCCUUAAACUAGGCAUGUACCACAAAGUGAUUUUUUUUCAAGAAAGUCUUUUAAAGCAGGACUGAACUAAACCAAAUCAUGCCAUCGUAAUAGUCUCUCGGGCGAAACCAGCAAAGCCUCUCAGCCUUUCACACAAAACGUCACUGUACCGGACCAUAGUUUCACCGAACAGUGCCAUUGCUGAUUGCUUCGCUAAGUGCAUGCUCCCAAAUGUGCAGAGUUUCAUUUUGUCUCAUCUAAGAAAAAAAAAAUCAUUUUAUUUCAUGUAGGACUCAAGAGUUUAGCAAUGUGACUGAACUGUGUGUCUGAACACUCCAGGUUAAAAAAAAAAAGUGACCAAGACAUGAGACGGCGAUCAGAGACAUUUCUGCAGCACUGUGAUCAUUUGUCUCGCUGCCAGGGAGCGAACAGGACGUUCCCGCGCUGACAGGGGGGGGGGGGUGGAUUCUGCCUGUCACAGUUCAAAGUCAGUCUGGCUCUUCCUGACAGGGUGGGAUAAGUGUGCCGUCAGGGCAGUGGCAUACUGGCACACUUUGUCCACUUCAAAGAGGCCCAAAGAGGCACCACAGGGAGGUGACCAGGUGUGGGCACGUUCGCCCCCCCUCCGCUGGAGGCAGGCCCAGCUGGGGGGGCUGAAGACGGGGGACUUAGCAGCCACUUGUGAAAGUGUGCCUGGGCUCAAAGACCUCCAGCCUGGCGCAGCGAGAGCCAGUCCUUCCACCACGAGGAGCCAGCAGUCCCAGGACUCCUCGAGACCACGCUCCUUCAUUUCCCAGGCAAAUGCCUCCGAGCAGGGAGGGCGCGAAACGUCAUCUGUCUGUCCUUUCCAUAUUUGUUUUAGAAAAACAGAUCACGCCAGUACUGUAAGUCAUAAACCAGUACCGUCAAUGACUCCCUUUUCUUUUCUUUAAAAAAAAAAGAACGUGACUUACUGUAUCGGCAAAACAUUUGUUUAUGCAAAACAGCAGACCGUCGCUGGAUAGUAAACAUUAAAAUGUUCCUACCCCUGGGGCACCGGCCUUCAGAGCCCCUGCUGCCUUGUGUCAUGCCUGUCUGCAUUACCUGUUGCUGUGAGAGAUUGGGAUGAGAAAAAAAGAAGGCAAAACCUUCCAGAAUGGAUGGUCUGGGCAGAGCUGAAAUCCCGCCAGAAAAUGGCCAUGCAUGGUCUGGACGGGGAGAGGAGGAGUGGGAACUUCAGUGCGCUCCGAGGCGUGGCAGUGAGGCCCGGACCGCUGGGGCAGCUCACCCUGCCUUCCGAAUCUGCGCUGUGGAGUUGCAGCAGAGCCCCUGAGGACAUCCUGUGCUGUACAGUAUAUUGUUCAGAGGAGGAAAGAAUGCUAGAUGCUGGGCUUGAUUUAGUGGAACCGGGACUCUUUACUACUUUUUCCCUGAUGGAAUUCGUCCAUGAAACUUGAUGUUUCUCCUAAAUCACCUGCCCAUUUUUUUCUGUGCUUCUGGUGUGCAAGAAUGCAAGGGAGCUGAUCUGAAUGUACUGCGCUGCUUCUUGUCCGUGGAUUAACAUUAACUUUUUAAAAGGGCUGUCUGGGGUUCCCCCAGCCUUGCUGAAGACAUGCUGCCAAGUUUGAGCUUGAGCUGAGGAGCUCCACAUAAAAAAAACUGCAUUGCAGAUAGUGUUUUAAAAUGUGUCAGUGCCAAGUGUAUAUUGGGUUAGAGAAGCUCAUGCAUAAUGGCGAUUUAUUUAAAACAGCCAACCCAAUCAUUCCUCUAUUACAAUCAAUUCCAAAAAUUUAAAAAAUUUAAAUGUGAUAUGAGGGAUUUUGAGGAAAAAAAGGAAAGCCCUUUCAGCGGUCUGUAGAAAUGUUUGGCACUCUCAUCAGCUCUUCGUAUUUGGUCUUCUCUGUCCUUUGCCUGUCUUUUACUAUGGUCAUGGAGGCUUCUGUCUUCUCAACAGGGACCACCCACAUUUUUUAAAAGAGCAACGGUACAUUUUCGACACCCCCCUACUGUCCCAAUAAAAAUGUGAUUUCCCACCAUCCUCCCUCGGUUCACUUACCAGACUAAUCCCCUUCUUUAUGGGCUCAGUUAACCCGGCGGUUCGGAUUACCAGGAUUAAAUCCCCUGUUUGUCUCUGUGAAAGCCAUUAGGAAAGGCUAACAGAGUGACCUUGCCUUUCACCCCCUCAUACCUCUCCUUCCUGGGAACCCACUCCUCCCCUAUCUCCCUGUCCUCUUUGCUUGCUGUCCACACGUGGUCAUCACUGUCCAGCUCACUGCAGGACCCCUGGACUGGAGGAAUAACUGGAUGGGCAAGGAUAGAGAUGGGUAGAUGCAGAGCAAGGCAUGGGCUGUACAGCUAAAGAGUUUUCACACAUUGGAGGAAAUGGGAAACUGGUAAUAAACAGGUGGGAGUGUGGAUUAACCCAUCCUAAAAUAACUACAAAUGAAACUGAUCGUUGGUUCUAACUGUUCCUGUAACGAUCUGUUAUGAGUCUAACUCUCAACAUAUGUAGAAAAUGAAACUAAUGUACUGUACUUAUUGUGAAAGGGAAGGCUCUAAUUUUUGCUUAUCUAGGUGGAGAUCUUACAUGAAUUUCCUGUGAACAUCAGUGAACAAAUAAAUUGUUUUCCUACCAGAUAUUAUUACCUUAUUGUGCCUCUGGCAAAUCUUGUUGCUCAGAAUUUUCUCUGAGGAAGCAAAACCAGAACUGAGAGAUGGAAAGAAACACUAGCAGCUACUGUUUUAAGUGGAUUUCAAGAAGUUGGUCCUCAGUGUGGCAUUCCUGUAGGAACUGGACAGCUGGCUCUCUGUGGCUUCUGUCUGCCUCGCGAUUCGUCAGGCUGGUGCUGACUGGGAGCUCUCUGACCUCUGACCCCACACUGGGGGGCGCUAA